This 253-nucleotide ribosomal RNA is filed under the name uncultured bacterium. RNAcentral's name for it is "partial 16S ribosomal RNA". It matches the Rfam family "Bacterial small subunit ribosomal RNA", at positions 524 to 776 of the family's 1533-position model. The record is from RNAcentral.
UACGGAGGGGGCUAGCGUUGUUCGGAAUUACUGGGCGUAAAGCGCGCGUAGGCGGACCUGCAAGUCGGGGGUGAAAGCCCGAGGCUCAACCUCGGAACUGCCUUCGAUACUGCGGGUCUCGAGUCCGGGAGAGGUGGGUGGAAUUCCUGGUGUAGCGGUGAAAUGCGUAGAUAUCAGGAGGAACACCGGUGGCGAAGGCGGCUCUCUGGACCACAACUGACGCUGAGGCGCGAAAGCUAGGGGAGCAAACAGG